Molecule: long non-coding RNA, 823 nt
Organism: Physella acuta
Lineage: Eukaryota; Metazoa; Mollusca; Gastropoda; Physidae
Source: RefSeq, a predicted model, not a curated record
ACCUGCAGCCGAAUCUACUAACCUCAUCAUUCUGUUUGUGGCCGUCACAAUAGAAAGACAAACAUGUACAAGGUUACUGCUGUCAUGCUCCUGCUUGCUUUGUUUGCUACAGCCACUUGUUCCGCGCAAGAAACCAGAGUGGAGCAACCAAUCGAUAAACGACAUUUUAUAGUCUGUCAAGGGCUGUGGCAAAAUUGCCUAUACAACCGAUGUUGCAGUUUCUUCAACUGCAACUCUCAAUCUGGAAUUUGCGAGUAUUAUUAAAGAAAUGUUUGGAACACCAAGCUUCAACCGUUUCCUGGUGUACAUUUCAAAUGAGAUAUAGUUUUCAUUAAUGAUCUAACGAUUUUGAUUGUGUUUAAGUUCAUCACAACACUGAUUAAAAUUGUUUAUUCCAUUAAUUACGUUUGUUGGUUUCGCUGCUAUACCUGGUGUAUUUAUUUAGUGCAUUAUUUUUUUCUUGAGGGUUUGAUUAAAAUGAAACAAAAUUUACAAAAAAUAAAAUUAUCCUCCACCCAACACCCUCCCACCCAUCCGCACUUAUUUACUUGUAUGGAGACUGUACUAGAUAUCGGACAGACGAAACUGUAAAUGAUAUUUCGACAUAGUUUAAUCAGUAAUCCAUAACAUUCAACAUUGAAUGAAUAUUUUGUAUGAUUAAAAAAUGCAUACAGGAAUAACUUGAAAAUGUUUUCUAUGUAAAACUAUAACAUACAUGAAAAUUUUUUUCUCGACAAGUAUUACUACAUUCAUAAUGGGAUGAAUAUCUUGUAUGAUUAAGAAAUACAAAGAGAUAUUAAUUUGAAAUGGUUUUCUAUGUAAA